CCAGGUUUACUUCUGGGUGGUUUAAGUUGUUGCGUUUAACGCUCGUAGUUGGAUCACGCAGCGCCGGUGAGUAAUCUUUUGCGACGGGAUGGUGAAUGAGCCCGUUUUGCGACGCCAUGAAUCAAACUAAGCAAAAGGUAAAAAUGCUGAUCAUCGCUAGUUGCACGUGAGAUAGAUUGUUGGCCUUUGAUGUGCCGAUAUUCUGGUCUUGCGGAGGGUGCCUCGAAUAAAACAGAGUGCUUAAAGCAGGUCGUUGCCUGAAUGUUAUAGCAUGGAACGAACAAUCGUGUUUAUGUGUACGCCUACUGAUGGUAGCGAGCCUUUGGUUUGUUGUUAUUGGCGACGUGCACGUCACCCACCAAAAUAUGGCUGUUGGCUCCAUAUACGGUGAUGAUUAACAGGAGCGGUUGGGGGCAUCGGAAUUUGGACGCGAGAGGUGAAAUUCUUAGACAGGCAAGGACUACCAAAUGCUCAGGACUUGUCUAGACCGUUUCCAUUAAUCAAGAACGAAAAUGGGAGGUCGAAGACGAUCAGAUACCGUCCUAGUUCCCAUCGUAAACUAUGCUGAAUGGAGAUCAGUGCAGAGAUGUUACACGCUCUGGGUCCGCCCGCUGGUCACCUGAUGUUUUUCGGCUACGGGGAACGUAUGGUCGCUAUGCUGAAGACUUAUAGGUAUUGACAGCACGAUCGCUACCAGGGCUGAGAGUCUGCUGCUUCAUGUUGACUCAACACGAGGCACCUGUACCUGGCCCGGACGUCGAUCGUAUUAACAUAUCAAUAGCUCUCAUCAUGAUACGAAGAGUGGCGCUGCAUGCCCAAUCUUUGGUCGUUGCAGUGAUCUGUCAGUCUAAUCGUGUAACAACGAGACUCAGUCUCGAUUGAAGAGAUAGAAGAGGACAUGUGCAGCUUGUUGAGUCGUACUGCAUGCUACUCAUCAGCUGUGUUAGCAGAACGAUGAGCAUCAUGCUGUUCAUGUUGUAGGCCAGUGCUCUCAAUGUGU
This 1000-nucleotide ribosomal RNA is filed under the name Thelohanellus bifurcata. RNAcentral describes it as "bacterial SSU rRNA". It matches the Rfam family "Eukaryotic small subunit ribosomal RNA", at positions 1 to 1418 of the family's 1831-position model. Lineage: Eukaryota; Metazoa; Cnidaria; Myxozoa; Bivalvulida; Myxobolidae. The record is from RNAcentral.